Molecule: ribosomal RNA, 273 nt
Filed under: uncultured bacterium
Lineage: Bacteria
Description: partial 16S ribosomal RNA
Rfam family: Bacterial small subunit ribosomal RNA
Source: RNAcentral
GACGUAGGGGGCAAGCGUUGUCCGGAAUUAUUGGGCGUAAAGCGCGCGCAGGCGGCCCGGUAAGUCGGUUGUGAAAACACGAGGCUCAACCUCGUGCCUGCAUCCGAUACUGCCGGGCUUGAGGCAGGUAGGGGAGAUCGGAAUUCCUGGUGUAGCGGUGAAAUGCGCAGAUAUCAGGAGGAACACCGGUGGCGAAGGCGGAUCUCUGGGCCUGUCCUGACGCUCAGGCGCGAAAGCUGGGGGAGCAAACAGGAUUAGAAACCCCCGUAGUCC